AAACCAACAGGGAUUGCCUCAGUAACGGCGAGUGAAGCGGCAAAAGCUCAAAUUUGAAAUCUAGCACCUUCGGUGUUCGAGUUGUAAUUUGAAGAUGGUAACCUUGGGUUUGGCUCUUGUCUAUGUUUCUUGGAACAGGACGUCAUAGAGGGUGAGAAUCCCGUCUGAUGAGAUGCCCAUUCCUAUGUAAGGUGCUAUCGAAGAGUCGAGUUGUUUGGGAAUGCAGCUCUAAGUGGGUGGUAAAUUCCAUCUAAAGCUAAAUAUUGGCGAGAGACCGAUAGCGAACAAGUACAGUGAUGGAAAGAUGAAAAGAACUUUGAAAAGAGAGUGAAAAAGUACGUGAAAUUGUUGAAAGGGAAGGGCAUUAGAUCAGACUUGGUGUUUUACGAUUAUCUUCUCUUCUUGAGUUGUGCACUCGUAUUUCACUGGGCCAGCAUCGAUUCGGAUGGCAAGAUAAUGGCAGUUGAAUGUGGCUUCACUUCGGUGGAGUGUUAUAGCUUCUGCUGAUAUUGCCUGUCUGGAUCGAGGGCUGCGUCUUUUGACUAGGAUGCUGGCGUAAUGAUCUAAUGCCGC
Molecule: ribosomal RNA, 573 nt
Filed under: Hansenula anomala
Lineage: Eukaryota; Fungi; Ascomycota; Saccharomycetes; Phaffomycetales; Wickerhamomycetaceae
Description: Wickerhamomyces anomalus partial large subunit ribosomal RNA
Rfam family: Eukaryotic large subunit ribosomal RNA
Source: RNAcentral